CACCGUGGAGGACAGAUUGACAACUUCUCAACCAUUAAAUAUACGGCUAUGUCCAGCAACACUCCUCUGCAAAGCAAAGACUCAAGGGAUGGAAAGAAGAGCUGGAACAACUCCACACUCGCAUUCAUGGCUGCACCAGACAUGGAGCCAUGUGCUCAUCCCAGGGUACCAACAACAGAGCAAGGAAAUAGUCCCGCCCAAGUCCAGCUGGUGAACCAGUGAGUUUUUUUGGAAUUUACUCACAGGAGCCUGGUUGGGAGUACUCACAAGAUGUCAAUUCCAAUGCAGCCUUGUCACCGGAAAGUCCCAUCCCAACCUGAGAGCGUCUGGUUUGGUUUCCUUUACUGCUCCCCUUUCAUUCAGCGGUGAGAACCUGGAAUCCCGCAAAGUGGAUGCAGAGGCAGGAGGAUGCCGGGGCUCACAGGCUACUCCAGCAAUCUGGUUCUACUCCAGGCUCAGGGAGAGACUUCAAGGGCGGCAGAGACUGCUCAAGGGUUAGAGCACUUGAUGCUCUUGCAGAGGACCUGAGUUGGAUUUCCAGCACCUACUUGGCAGUCCACAGUCAUUCCUCUCUCCAGUUCCAGAUCUGCUGCCAUGUUCUGACCACACACGCAUACA
This is a long non-coding RNA of Onychomys torridus (southern grasshopper mouse), 618 nucleotides long. RefSeq lists it as uncharacterized. The record is from RefSeq and is a predicted model, not a curated record. Lineage: Eukaryota; Metazoa; Chordata; Mammalia; Rodentia; Cricetidae. The transcript has 3 exons.